Molecule: ribosomal RNA, 279 nt
Filed under: uncultured bacterium
Lineage: Bacteria
Description: partial 16S ribosomal RNA
Rfam family: Bacterial small subunit ribosomal RNA
Source: RNAcentral
UGCCAGCCGCCGCGGUAAUACGAAGGGACCUAGCGUAGUUCGGAAUUACUGGGCUUAAAGAGUUCGUAGGUGGUUGAAAAAGUUGGUGGUGAAAUCCCAGAGCUUAACUCUGGAACUGCCAUCAAAACUUUUCAGCUAGAGUUUGAUAGAGGAAAGCAGAAUUUCUAGUGUAGAGGUGAAAUUCGUAGAUAUUAGAAAGAAUACCAAAUGCGAAGGCAGCUUUCUGGAUCUGUACUGACACUGAGGUGCGAAAGCGUGGGUAGCGAACAGGAUUAGAUA